RNAcentral lists this ribosomal RNA (497 nucleotides) under uncultured bacterium. Its description in RNAcentral is "partial 16S ribosomal RNA". It matches the Rfam family "Bacterial small subunit ribosomal RNA", at positions 28 to 507 of the family's 1533-position model. The record is from RNAcentral.
GAUGAACGCUGGCGGCGUGCCUAAUACAUGCAAGUCGAGCGAACAGACGAGGAGCUUGCUCCUCUGACGUUAGCGGCGGACGGGUGAGUAACACGUGGAUAACCUACCUAUAAGACUGGGAUAACUUCGGGAAACCGGAGCUAAAACCGGAUAAUAUAUUGAACCGCAUGGUUAAAUAGUGAAAGACGGUUUUGCUGUCACUUAUAGAUGGAUCCGCGCCGCAUUAGCUAGUUGGUAAGGUAACGGCUUACCAAGGCGACGAUGCGUAGCCGACCUGAGAGGAUGAUCGGCCACACUGGAACUGAGACACGGUCCAGACUCCUACGGGAGGCAGCAGUAGGGAAUCUUCCGCAAUGGGCGAAAGCCUGACGGAGCAACGCCGCGUGAGUGAUGAAGGUCUUCGGAUCGUAAAACUCUGUUAUUAGGGAAGAACAAAUGUGUAAGUAACUAUGCACGUCUUGACGGUACCUAAUCAGAAAGCCACGGCUAACUACGUG